Molecule: long non-coding RNA, 749 nt
Organism: Lathyrus oleraceus (garden pea)
Lineage: Eukaryota; Viridiplantae; Streptophyta; Magnoliopsida; Fabales; Fabaceae
Exons: 6
Source: RefSeq, a predicted model, not a curated record
AGGACAUACUCAGAUAGUUGGAUAUCCUAACGCUGAUUGGGAAAACUCACCCAUUGUUCGACGAUUUACCUCUGAGUAUUGUUUAUUUGUUGAAGGAAACCUAAUAUCCUAUAAAAGAAAGAAACAUAAUGUAGUUGCAAGAUCAAGUGCUGAGGUAGAAUAUAAGGUUAUGACACUAGUAACAUGUGAGGUUUCAUGAGAGGAACAAACAUUGUCAGAGAGAAGAUAGAAUCAAACGACAUUGUCACAAGUUUUGUCAACUCUAAUGAUCAAUUGGAAGGUAUGUACGCUCUUGUCAUGAAUAGAUUAAAAUGAGUCUUGAGGUCAUUAUAUGGAGAGCCAGCCGUUGAGGUUACAAAUGAAGGUUUUGAUGCUGCAGGGCAUACAAUUGGUACAUCUUUAGAGGUCGUGUUCAAACUUAGGAAGGUUCUCAACCCCAAGAGUGUGAUCAAACCAACAUCACUAGCUAAAGAUUAUUUUGAAUCCAUAACUAACUUGAUCAUCCGAUACUUUGUAGAUACCACACCUUUGCUAUGACCAUGUCAGUCUUGAAGUCCUUAGAGGUUAUUUUUCCUGAAUUUAUUGUAAUUGGUGAUCGGUUCCAUGAGAAUAGAAAGUGAUGCAGGGAACCUUUGAUUUGGAAGUAUAAUUGGGUCUGCAUCCCAGGGAUUUGUCAUUGUCUCAGCUUUACUCGAUACAACAUUGCUGCAGUUCAUUUAAAAUUAUCCAUCUCCUUCUGCAAUCUAUAA